RNAcentral lists this ribosomal RNA (305 nucleotides) under uncultured bacterium. Its description in RNAcentral is "partial 16S ribosomal RNA". It matches the Rfam family "Bacterial small subunit ribosomal RNA", at positions 508 to 809 of the family's 1533-position model. The record is from RNAcentral.
ACAGCAGUCGCCGCGGUAAUACAGAGGGUGCGAGCGUUAAUCGGAUUUACUGGGCGUAAAGCGUGCGUAGGCGGCUUUUUAAGUCGGAUGUGAAAUCCCUGAGCUUAACUUAGGAAUUGCAUUCGAUACUGGGAAGCUAGAGUAUGGGAGAGGAUGGUAGAAUUCCAGGUGUAGCGGUGAAAUGCGUAGAGAUCUGGAGGAAUACCGAUGGCGAAGGCAGCCAUCUGGCCUAAUACUGACGCUGAGGUACGAAAGCAUGGGGAGCAAACAGGAUUAGAGACCCCUGUAGUCCCUGUCUCUUAUAA